GCCUUCGUAGAUCAGCGCUAGAUCACCUCCGCUCGAUACGAGAUUGGCCGGAUGUGCCCACUCCGGAGGAGACGCGGGUUCAAAUCCCGCCGAAGGCA
Mycena polygramma is the source of this 98-nucleotide non-coding RNA. The record is from the annotation of a GenBank genome assembly. NCBI's taxonomy places the organism in Eukaryota, Fungi, Basidiomycota, Agaricomycetes, Agaricales, Mycenaceae.